AUUGAACGCUGGCGGCAUGCUUUACACAUGCAAGUCGAACGGCAGCACGGGGGCAACCCUGGUGGCGAGUGGCGAACGGGUGAGUAAUACAUCGGAACGUAUCUUCGAGUGGGGGAUAACGCACCGAAAGGUGUGCUAAUACCGCAUAAUCUCCACGGAGAAAAGCAGGGGAUCGCAAGACCUUGCGCUCUUGGAGCGGCCGAUGUCUGAUUAGCUAGUUGGUGAGGUAAUGGCUUACCAAGGCGACGAUCAGUAGCUGGUCUGAGAGGACGACCAGCCACACUGGGACUGAGACACGGCCCAGACUCCUACGGGAGGCAGCAGUGGGGAAUGUUGGACAAUGGGGGAAACCCUGAUCCAGCCAUGCCGCGUGAGUGAAGAAGGCCUUCGGGUUGUAAAGCUCUUUCAGCCGGAACGAAACGGUCACGGCUAAUACCUGUGAUCACUGACGGUACCGGAAGAAGAAGCACCGGCUAACUACGUGC
RNAcentral lists this ribosomal RNA (485 nucleotides) under uncultured bacterium. RNAcentral's name for it is "bacterial SSU rRNA". It matches the Rfam family "Bacterial small subunit ribosomal RNA", at positions 30 to 508 of the family's 1533-position model. The record is from RNAcentral.